UACGUAGGGUGCAAGCGUUGUCCGGAAUUAUUGGGCGUAAAGAGCUCGUAGGCGGUCUGUCGCGUCGGCUGUGAAAACCGGAGGCUCAACCUCCGGCCUGCAGUCGAUACGGGCAGACUAGAGUUCGGUAGGGGAGACUGGAAUUCCUGGUGUAGCGGUGAAGUGCGCAGAUAUCAGGAGGAACACCGGUGGCGAAGGCGGGUCUCUGGGCCGAAACUGACGCUGAGGAGCGAAAGCAUGGGGAGCGAACAGG
RNAcentral lists this ribosomal RNA (253 nucleotides) under uncultured Blastococcus sp. RNAcentral's name for it is "partial 16S ribosomal RNA". It matches the Rfam family "Bacterial small subunit ribosomal RNA", at positions 524 to 776 of the family's 1533-position model. The record is from RNAcentral. Lineage: Bacteria; Bacillati; Actinomycetota; Actinomycetes; Geodermatophilales; Geodermatophilaceae.